Molecule: transfer RNA, 86 nt
Filed under: Ketobacter alkanivorans
Lineage: Bacteria; Pseudomonadati; Pseudomonadota; Gammaproteobacteria; Pseudomonadales; Ketobacteraceae
Also listed under: 1 other name
Rfam family: tRNA
About the family: Transfer RNA (tRNA) molecules are approximately 80 nucleotides in length. Their secondary structure includes four short double-helical elements and three loops (D, anti-codon, and T loops).
Source: RNAcentral
GGAAGGUUGGCCGAGUGGUAAAGCAGCGGGUUGCUAACCCGUAGGGGAUAAAACCUCCGGGGGUUCGAGUCCCUCACCUUCCGCCA